ACUCAAAGGAAUAGACGGGGACCCGCACAAGCGGUGGAGUAUGUGGCUUAAUUCGAUGCAACGCGAAGAACCUUACCUGGGCUUGACAUGGAUUUCUAAGCACGUGAAAGCGUGUGACCCUUCGGGGAACUUCCACAGGUGCUGCAUGGCCGUCGUCAGCUCGUGUCGUGAGAUGUUGGGUUAAGUCCCGCAACGAGCGCAACCCUUGUGAUCAGUUGCCAGCGCGUCAUGGCGGGAACUCUGGUCAGACUGCCCAGAUCAACUGGGAGGAAGGUGGGGACGACGUCAGGUCAGUAUGGCCCUUACGCCCAGGGCUGCACACGUACUACAAUGCCCAGUACAAUGAGAACCGAUGCCGCGAGGUGGAGGAAAUCUGUAAAACUGGGCCCAGUUCGGAUUGGAGGCUGCAACUCGCCUCCAUGAAGUUGGAAUCGCUAGUAAUGGCGCAUCAUCUACGGCGCCGUGAAUACGUUCCCGGGUCUUGUACACACCGCCCGU
RNAcentral lists this ribosomal RNA (498 nucleotides) under uncultured bacterium. RNAcentral describes it as "bacterial SSU rRNA". It matches the Rfam family "Bacterial small subunit ribosomal RNA", at positions 899 to 1397 of the family's 1533-position model. The record is from RNAcentral.